Molecule: ribosomal RNA, 551 nt
Filed under: uncultured freshwater bacterium
Lineage: Bacteria
Description: bacterial SSU rRNA
Rfam family: Bacterial small subunit ribosomal RNA
Source: RNAcentral
AGAGUUUGAUCCUGGCUCAGAACGAACGCUGGCGGCAGGCUUAACACAUGCAAGUCGAGCGCCCCGCAAGGGGAGCGGCAGACGGGUGAGUAACGCGUGGGAACAUACCUCUUGGUUCGGAAUAACUCAGGGAAACUUGAGCUAAUACCGGAUACGUCCGAAAGGAGAAAGAUUUAUCGCCGAGAGAGUGGCCCGCGUCUGAUUAGCUAGUUGGUGAGGUAAAAGCUCACCAAGGCGACGAUCAGUAGCUGGUCUGAGAGGAUGAUCAGCCACACUGGGACUGAGACACGGCCCAGACUCCUACGGGAGGCAGCAGUGGGGAAUAUUGGACAAUGGGGGCAACCCUGAUCCAGCCAUGCCGCGUGAGUGAUGAAGGCCUUAGGGUUGUAAAGCUCUUUUACCAGGGAAGAUAAUGACUGUACCUGGAGAAUAAGCCCCGGCUAACUUCGUGCCAGCAGCCGCGGUAAUACGAAGGGGGCUAGCGUUGUUCGGAAUCACUGGGCGUAAAGCGCACGUAGGCGGGCCGAUAAGUCGGAGGUGAAAGCCUGGGG